Molecule: long non-coding RNA, 1662 nt
Organism: Pyrus x bretschneideri (Chinese white pear)
Lineage: Eukaryota; Viridiplantae; Streptophyta; Magnoliopsida; Rosales; Rosaceae
Exons: 2
Source: RefSeq, a predicted model, not a curated record
UCAAUGAGAAUACGUAAACUUCACAUGGUAUUCGAGCCUUCAAUCAUUCUAUAUAAGAGUCUUUUUUUUUUUUUUUUCCAUCCUCACGGCUUCGGCUUCUUCAUCCUCUUCCAUUCCUAACAUCUCUACCUUAGUCUUGGUGAAGCUUUCUGAGACGAACCAUCUCCAAUGUGAGUGUCAAGUCAAGCUGUUCCUGGUUGGUCAGAAUUACUGGCAUUUUAUUGAUGGUUCCUAUCCGUGCCCCGCCCCUCUACUCCCCGCUCAUGCUUCUGCUGCGGCUUCUCCAGAGUCUGACUCAUCAGUCGCUCUUCCAUCUCAUGUGGCCUCUUCAACGCCUAAUCUGGAAUACCUUGUAAGGUAUCAAACUGAUCAAACACUCGUCAGUAUGCUUCGAGCAACUCUUACUGAGCCCAUUCUUUCAUUGACUGUUGGGCUGUCUACUUCUCGUGAAAUUUGGGAGCACCUUCAGCAGAAUUUCUCGCAGCACUCUCUUGCCAAUGCCACUCAUUAUCGUUUUCAGUUGAUCUCACUACAAAAAGGGCCAAAAUCGAUUGCUGAGUACCUUGCCCAGGCCAAGAAUCUUGCUGAUCACUUGGCUUAGAUUGGGCAGCCUGUUGCCAAUGAAGAUUUGGUGUCGUAUGUGCUUCGUAGUUUGGGACCAGAGUACAGUGUACUUGUUGCUAUGCUCCCCAAUUUCCCUCAUUUCCCUCCGUUUAAUGAGUUGCGCUCUCGUCUUUUUUUUUUUUCAAUCACAAUUGCCCAUGACUCCGGGUACUUCUCCUGCACCACAUGCUUUUUAUUCUGUGCGCACCAAUGGUGGUGGCACAUCUAGAAACCGUGGCAAUGAGGAUCACCACCAAUGGUAAAAUGGUAAGAAUGGUGGAGCCGCUGUGAUACGAGGUUCUCGUGCCAAUUUUGGUGGUCGAAACGCACCAAAUCAAGUUUAUGGUCGCAACAACAUCAACAACAACAAUAGGGCCCCUCAUCGUGGACUUGUUGCUCCUGGUCUUCCUGGGCCAUCACCCAUUCCUUGUGGCCCUUGCUGGAUUUGUCGCCGACACGGCCAUCUCGAUGCACAAUGUCCUCAAACACUUCGUCCUGACGAUGAGUUAUCUCAUGCGUUUGCUGGUAUGCACAUUGCUCAAUCUUCUGAUGCGCCUUAGCUUCCAAACAAAGGUGCAGCCCAUCACAUGACUAAUGAUGCUCGUUCCUUGACUGGUACAACUGGGUAUGGCUCCACAAAUCAAGUUAUAGUUGGAAAUGGUGAAACUCUCCCCAUUGUGCACACUGGGCCUAUGCGAGGAGGAACUUUACCCAAUUAAACUUGGUCGUGCUUCUAGAAAUUAUACUUCAAAGGAAUCUUUUGUGUCUGUUUUUGCGUCGCCUUCCUUAUGGCAUCGUUGUCUCGGGCAUCCAUCUUGUCAAGUACUUAGUGUGUUAGCUUCUGGGCAUUUGUUAGAGUCCAAAUUUUUAGAUUCAAAUAAGGAAUUUUGUAAUAAUUGUGCAUUGGUAAAGUCUCAUCGAUUGUCGUUCAAUUUGUCUGAACACUAUUCUAAUUCUCCAUUUGAUUUAAUUCAUUCUGAUGUUUGGAUGUCUCUUGUAGCUUUUGUUUCUGGGUUUCGUUAUUAUGUUUUAUUUAUGAAUGAGUAUACACGUUUUUCA